This 290-nucleotide ribosomal RNA is filed under the name uncultured bacterium. Its description in RNAcentral is "partial 16S ribosomal RNA". It matches the Rfam family "Bacterial small subunit ribosomal RNA", at positions 30 to 334 of the family's 1533-position model. The record is from RNAcentral.
AUUGAACGCUGGCGGCAUGGUUAAGACAUGCAAGUCGAACGGUUAAAGCCCCUUCGGGGGUGUAUAAAGUGGCGAAAGGGCGAGGAAUACAUUCCUACGUGCCUCGAGGUUGGGGAUAGCCCAGGGAAACUUGGAGUAAAACCCAAUGUGGUCUACGGAUCAAAGGCUUGCCGCCUUGAGAGCGGGGAAUGUCCUAUCAGGUUGUUGGUGAGGUAAAGGCUCACCAAGCCUACGACGGGUAGCGGGUGUGAGAACAUGACCCGCCGCAUCGGGACUGAGACACUGCCCGG